RNAcentral lists this unclassified non-coding RNA (2108 nucleotides) under Haliotis rufescens (red abalone). RNAcentral describes it as "uridine phosphorylase 1-like, transcript variant X1". Lineage: Eukaryota; Metazoa; Mollusca; Gastropoda; Lepetellida; Haliotidae. The record is from RNAcentral.
AGAAGCAGUGCGUAUGAAAUAAGUGUCGUGUGCAUACACAAGCCACGCCCACUUGGUUGCUGCAACGCAGUUGUUUUGUGAAUUAAUUUGAAUUUGAACAAGAUAAUUUUUAAGGACAACAGCUGGCAAGGAUGGAUAUAUCUGGCAUGAGUCCAACUCGUAGUUUCAACAACCCUGACUCUGCAAGAGGGGAGGACUACCACCCGCAAGAUGGGCCUAUUAAGAUCCAGAAUCCUCACAUAGCGACCAUGGAAGAAGACUAUCUCUACCAUAUUGCUCUUGGUGACAAGACACAUGACCUUCAUGAGAUGUUCAAUGAUGUCAAGUUUGUAUGCUUUGGAGGCUCACCGACCAGAAUGCUGAAGUUUGCAGAAUUUAUGAAGGAGCAGCUUCGUAUCAAAAUACCUGCCGGGAUGACACUAUACAACAUCGCCAAUGGGUCUGACAGAUAUGUCAUCUACAAGACAGGGCCAGUGUUGUCUGUUAGUCAUGGUAUAGGCAUCCCGUCGCUCUCCAUCAUCAUGCAUGAGAUACUGAAGCUGCUGCAGCAUGCUGAGUGUUCCGGGGUGACGCUGUUCCGCAUCGGCACCAGCGGAGGGCUCGGUCUGGAAGCAGGGUCCGUUGUGAUCACUAGUGAGGCUGUCGAUGGCAACCUCAGGCAAUACAUGGAGGUGGCAAUCAUGGGCAUGGUGGUUAAGCUUCCUUCCUUCCUGGACAAGGAACUGUGUCAGGAGCUGCUGGCCAUGGCGUCGGAGGACGACCAUUUCCAGACCAUCAUCGGAAAGACCAUGUGCACGCAUGACUUCUAUGAAGGUCAAGCUCGUCUGGACGGAGCGUUCUGUGACUACACCCAGGCAGACAAGAUGGCGUUCCUCAGACGUAUCCAUGACAAGGGUAUCCGCAAUAUUGAGAUGGAGUCGCUCUGCUUUGCUGCCUACUGCCACAGGGCAAACAUAAGAGGUGCUGUGAUUUGUGUGACACUGCUGGACAGCCUGAACGGAGACCAGAUCACCACGCCCCACAACGUCAUGGAGGAAUGGAACAACCGGCCCCAGCAGGUUGUAGCCAGACUCAUCAAGAAGAAACUUGGCAUCAGUGAUGAGUGACACUCUAUAAGACCAAGUUACUAUUUAGUGUUGGAUAAUUCUCCUCUACAGGGAGAGGAGGUGCUUUUCAGAUCAGGGCCUCGAUCCACAAAGCGAUCAUAGCACUAGCACUCCCCUGCUUACAACAGUAGUAGCACUAAUCUCGCUUUGUGGAAGAACAUAAUUUCCAAUCUUGCCUCAAAGUGGUUGAAGCAUGGGAUAAAUAAACUUUUUGGUGAAGUUCAGGGAGACCGAUGAACACAAUUCUUUAACAAUCCAUUACUUGGAGAGAUAUAAACAUUUUUAAUGAAACUAUAAUAAUAAUAAUAAUUCAGCUCCCAUCAUCUCCCUUUUGAAAAUGUCUGAAAAUAACGGUUAUUUUUGUGUGUCUCAUUACAUGCCACAUUUCCGGUGCAUUAUUACUUGUAUUUGCCUGUGUGUAAGGAAUGCUUUAUACUAUAUGUAGUAUUAUAUAUGUGUAGUUGUGAUUCGUCACAAUCCACGAUUGUUGGCCGGAAACACGAUAAUAUUUUUCGGAGUAUUUUUAGAAAAUCUUUGAUUAUAUUUUUACAUGGAAGAUGAUUUUUUCCGAGGACUACUGAUUUUAAAAAUGUGAUUUUCACAUCCCUGAUACAUGUGCAAUGACCACAUACUGUUGGCUUUUCCUAUUCCUAUUCAAUUUGCUUAGUCUCAAACACAUCGUGUUUGCUUCCCGCCAAAACUCUAUCUGAAAGUGUAACAGGUUUGUUUCAGGUUCAGUAUUGUAAUUACAAGGGUAUUAUUCACUCCAGGCUUUGCUAAAAACCACUCUAUAAUUUGCAUCAUAACCUUCUGAAACUAGCUCUCUGCUGCUGUAUUACAGUCUGUACAAAAGCUAGGGAUGUUUAUCUUCAUUUAUCCAGUAUAUUAUAUCGCCUAUUAUGAUAAAUACCCUGGACCCAUACACUUCCAUGGCUUUGAUUUGAGCUUGAUUUGAAUGGUGUGCCUCUAAAAAAAAACCAUCAAAUAAAAUAUCUCUCUUAA